This 490-nucleotide ribosomal RNA is filed under the name uncultured bacterium. RNAcentral describes it as "partial 16S ribosomal RNA". It matches the Rfam family "Bacterial small subunit ribosomal RNA", at positions 28 to 507 of the family's 1533-position model. The record is from RNAcentral.
GAUGAACGCUGGCGGCAGGCCUAAUACAUGCAAGUCGAACGGGAUCCAGAUCAAAGCUUGCUUUGGUUUGGUGAGAGUGGCGUACGGGUGCGUAACGCGUGAGCAACCUACCCUUGUCAGGGGGAUAGCCCGGCGAAAGUCGGAUUAAUACCGCAUGACAUCAUUGAGAGGCAUCUUUCGAUGAUCAAAGAUUUAUCGGACAAGGAUGGGCUCGCGUGACAUUAGCUAGUUGGUAAGGUAACGGCUUACCAAGGCUACGAUGUCUAGGGGCUCUGAGAGGAGCAUCCCCCACACUGGUACUGAGACACGGACCAGACUCCUACGGGAGGCAGCAGUAAGGAAUAUUGGUCAAUGGACGGAAGUCUGAACCAGCCAUGCCGCGUGCAGGAAGACGGCCCUAUGGGUUGUAAACUGCUUUUAUACGGGAACAAACGUCGGUACGUGUACCGGUCUGAGUGUACCGUAAGAAUAAGGAUCGGCUAACUCCGUG